This is a long non-coding RNA of Branchiostoma belcheri (Belcher's lancelet), 1021 nucleotides long. RefSeq lists it as uncharacterized. Lineage: Eukaryota; Metazoa; Chordata; Leptocardii; Amphioxiformes; Branchiostomatidae. The transcript has 4 exons. The record is from RefSeq and is a predicted model, not a curated record.
AGUUUGUACAGGCGGUUGGCGCGGUAUCCGGAUUCGGCUGGUUCCGCUGGCGUGACGUGCUCUGGUGCUAGGCCAUGGAGUUAAAAAGAGCACAGGAGUCAAAAUCUCUACCUCCGUGGAUAGGCCAUGAGGCUCACUCCCCAAUCACCCUCUUCGCGGACAGUACACAAACCCUCAAGGUUGACGUUGUGUACAGCUGGAAGACAAGUACAGACUUGAAGGGGAAGAAGAGCUGGACUUGGAAACUCGCAGUAGCGCCAGUCCGAGCUCCCAGUCCACAACGCAACAGGACAUGGAUAUCACAAAAGCAACGUUACCAGUGGUGACAACACCUUACAAGCUGAGCCACGCUCUGUCCUGAAAACAGCUACAAAAUGCUUUCUUUCUUUUGGACUACACCGCGAAAGCUUGCUGGAUCACCCAGCUGGAAUCAUCAACGUAGCAGAAGCACCAGUAAUUGGAACCACGCUCCUACGCCAGAACAAGAGGCAGAGAUGGAAUUCCGAAAAGCUUUCCUGUCCAAAUGGUGACCUUGGUCAAGCCAAGUGAAAAGAGGGCACGGGAAACAUGAUGGAUUUGAUGGGUAAAGCUAUUUGCUGCUAGUAAUGCAGUGAAAGGCCCUGAGGAAGUGGUGGACCUGAAAGAACCUUUGACAACGGCCAUGGCAGCAUCAACACACCUCGGGUUGGAACAUUAAUGUACACAUGUACAAAGACCUGUUAUCCAAUAUACAUGUAGCCCUCAUGAUAUUGACUGAGACUGCAACUUCACAAUAGAAAUGUUGAAUUUUAUUGAUAAUGUCAACAAUACUGUAUGACAGCUCUAUGGUAUGGCAUUGUAACUGUUGUUAUAAGAACCGUGCAAUAGGUGAGGCAGAAAGUCACAUUUUAUUAGUUAUUUAAAUUGGUGAUUCAAUAUGAUCAUGGCCUACCAAGUUCUGUACAGAAAUUUUGAGCCUGAAUUGUUUCUGAAUUGUGUGAUAUAAUCAUCCUUAGGUCAGUUGUAAUAAAGUUGAUCACUA